This 775-nucleotide ribosomal RNA is filed under the name Alcaligenes sp. RNAcentral's name for it is "bacterial SSU rRNA". It matches the Rfam family "Bacterial small subunit ribosomal RNA", at positions 56 to 821 of the family's 1533-position model. Lineage: Bacteria; Pseudomonadati; Pseudomonadota; Betaproteobacteria; Burkholderiales; Alcaligenaceae. The record is from RNAcentral.
UGCAAGUCGAACGGCAGCGCGAGAGAGCUUGCUCUCUUGGCGGCGAGUGGCGGACGGGUGAGUAAUAUAUCGGAACGUGCCCAGUAGCGGGGGAUAACUACUCGAAAGAGUGGCUAAUACCGCAUACGCCCUACGGGGGAAAGGGGGGGAUCGCAAGACCUCUCACUAUUGGAGCGGCCGAUAUCGGAUUAGCUAGUUGGUGGGGUAAAGGCUCACCAAGGCAACGAUCCGUAGCUGGUUUGAGAGGACGACCAGCCACACUGGGACUGAGACACGGCCCAGACUCCUACGGGAGGCAGCAGUGGGGAAUUUUGGACAAUGGGGGAAACCCUGAUCCAGCCAUCCCGCGUGUAUGAUGAAGGCCUUCGGGUUGUAAAGUACUUUUGGCAGAGAAGAAAAGGUAUCCCCUAAUACGGGAUACUGCUGACGGUAUCUGCAGAAUAAGCACCGGCUAACUACGUGCCAGCAGCCGCGGUAAUACGUAGGGUGCAAGCGUUAAUCGGAAUUACUGGGCGUAAAGCGUGUGUAGGCGGUUCGGAAAGAAAGAUGUGAAAUCCCAGGGCUCAACCUUGGAACUGCAUUUUUAACUGCCGAGCUAGAGUAUGUCAGAGGGGGGUAGAAUUCCACGUGUAGCAGUGAAAUGCGUAGAUAUGUGGAGGAAUACCGAUGGCGAAGGCAGCCCCCUGGGAUAAUACUGACGCUCAGACACGAAAGCGUGGGGAGCAAACAGGAUUAGAUACUCUGGUAGUCCACGCCCUAACGAUGUCAACUAGCU